This 606-nucleotide ribosomal RNA is filed under the name Triticum aestivum (bread wheat). RNAcentral's name for it is "partial small subunit ribosomal RNA". The record is from RNAcentral. Lineage: Eukaryota; Viridiplantae; Streptophyta; Magnoliopsida; Poales; Poaceae.
AUGUCCGUCCAGGGGAGGCGCGCUUCCUGCUACGACUGGUGCAGCGACUUCACGUGCGCGCACGCCAUCUUCGCCAGCGGGUUCGUCACCGCGCCGGUCGCCAUCGUGCACUUCGUCAAGCGGCCCUACUCCGGCGCCACCAUCUUGUUCGCAGCGUUCGCCGCGUUCUGCACCGCCGUCAGCCUCAUCCUCUGCUGCAAGUUCUACGCCGAGCUCAAGCGGCCGCCCUGGCCCCGGUGGCUGUCGUCGGCGUCCGCCGAAGCGCGCCAUCUUGAACAGCAGGACGGCCGAGAGACGGAGGUGUCGUCGCACGAGCUGCAGCUUCGCCACCCUGAGCAGGCCGUGAUGGGGCGCGAGCGCGACGACCUGCGAACCGCUCUCGUCCCGAGCUACGAGCACCCGGGGGGCGCCGCCGAGUGCGCGGUGUGCCUCGGCGAAGUGGAGAAGGGGGAGGCGGUGCGGCGGAUGCCGGUGUGCUUGCACGUGUUCCACACCGAGUGCAUCGACCGGUGGCUGCGCUCGCACGCUACGUGCCCUAUUUGCCGAUGCAGCGUGUUCACCCCGCUGGAACGGCCACCGGAAGUAGUGUUGAACGUCGAGUUGUGA